GGUAAAGAUUUUUUGUUUCCUUUUGCUCUGAUUUUUCACAUUUCCGGAGUUCUUUUGCUGAUUCCUUCUCACCUGGCCUCUUGAUUGAGUCCUGGAGGUAGUAGGGGUAGCUUGUGGGCCUGAACCCGGGACCCGGAAGAUCAAUCACUUACUGUGCCAGGGAGAAGAGUGCUGGUCCAUGGGAUGUUCAAGCAGGUUUGAUGAUCUUCUCAGUUUGCCUCUGUCCUGCUGUCUUCACCUGUUCCCAGCAGUGUGAAUUGCACUGGGUCCCCCAGCUUAAUUUCUGAUAUGGCAGGUGGUUCUUGGGAGUAGGAAUCAGCCAUGCCCUGUUUGCUUGAGUUGGAAGAUGCUAUGAUGUGAUAUAUAGUUGUUCUCCCCGUCAUUGGAUGUUUGUGUGAAAGAGACAGCUGCUGAGGUGUUCUUGUGUGCACAUGAUAGACUCUGGUACCCCAUAUGGAGUACUUGAAUGCAGCAAGCUUUAGGAGGACCCUGAAGCUACUAGGGGGUUGCUUGAUCUCUGCCACCAUUGAGGUGGGGGAAGGAGCAAGGCAGUUUGUGGUUAGGUUUCAGAAGCCAGAACGGCUUUGCAAAGGCUCAAGGGGCCUCGGAAGUCUCUUCUCUGGCCACUAGGGGGAGCCCCUGGUAUGAGGGUCAGGAGGAGCUCCUCAAACCAGGAAGGCUGUUUAUGGUGGAGGGUCCUAAAUGCUUGAGUGAUCCCUGGGCUGGGAUCUUUCCUCCCGUAUCCAGUAGCACAGUUUUCUGUGGGAAGGGGUGGUAUUCCCCCAAAUUGCUACUCCUUGGACCCCUACAGCACACUCCCAUCAGUUUAGUCCACAUGUGCUUCCUCACCACCACAGUCCAACUCUCAAACCUCUCUCCCAUCUGUGUGACCCACUAGUUUGCAUCUCCAUGAAAUGCCAGCAGGCAGGGAAUUCAAGGACUGUGAAUCCCCUGUUCCACUACAAGUCAUCAAAAGAAGAGGUGUGGGCUCCUGUACCUGUGCGGACCUCAGCCAAGAGCACACACCCAGUGGAGAGAAAUGGCCACUUGAGAACUUCUCAGUUCAAACUGUUCUCCCUGUUGUAACGAAUGGGUGGAGGGGUUGCAGCACCCAGUCAGCCAGCACAUGUGAAUGCAAGGUGUUUGGUUGCCAUGGAACCAAAAGCCAGACUAUUCCCUUUCCAAUAGCACGCCAUUACCCAACAUGGCGGUUCUCUUGGGGUGGAUAUGGGUGUGCUCCCAGAUCCUUGUUCCUCAGCUCCCUACCACACUUUCCCGUGGGAAAUGUCCGUGUGGGCUUCCUUGCCACCGCGGUCCAGCUCCCAGACUUCUCCCCGUGCCCUCUUGCGCCCCUCUCAUGUCUGGGGGGCACUGGGACUGGCUUGAUUCUCUGAGCCACUCUGAGUCCAACCCCACAAAACACCAAUGGGUAGGAAGUUCCCAAAUUAUACACGCCUGUUCCACCACAAGUCCUCAAGGGAACAGCGGUGGGCCCCACUCUCUGUGGAGACCUCACCCUGGGAAGCGCGGAGAAAAACGACCAUUUGGGAACUUCUCGGCUCAACCUGUAGUCAGGGUUGUAAUGGAGGGGAGGGGCCGCAGCGCCCAGUCAGCGCAGGCGCAAACCGCUUUUCUGGUUACAGUGAACUGGGGACGUGCGGGGGAGGAAGUAUCCGGGUGGAAGAAAGCUGGCCACUCUGGCCUCUUGUGGCACUCUUCUGGUGGGGAGCCCCCCACAGACUGCCCUGUGACUCUGUAGUUCACCCUGCUAUUCCUUAUUUGCUGCCUGGGUUAUGGAGGGCGGAAAAGCCUUCAGUAAACUUAGUGUCCCGUUGCUGCUGAGUGCGUGUGUGGGGGGAGGGAAUCCCCCUGCCCCUUUCUCUGGCCCGAGCCUCUCUGGGUUUGAUCGUUUCCGAUAUCCUCCCCUCUUUAUCUUCCUUCUCAGCUUCACAGUCUUUCUCCAUGUGGUCUCCAGCUGUCUCCGUUGCCCCUCUCUGUGAUCCACACCUGAGCUGUGACUGUUCUCCUCUCUCCUCCACCAGCUGCCCUGCCUUCCUCCGGGGAUGGUCUGACAAGCCCUGUCUCUAGUCCCUCAGAAGAACUUGAUCUGUACCUCCAGAUCUGUCAUCUUGUAGCUGCCUCUGGAUUGGGAAGUGUGGCGCCUAUAAAGAAAUAAUCAACAAACCAAUGCCUGUUUCAUCGAUACAUAUGUUGGUACCUUUGGAAAGAUCCAGAAAUCCACAUGUUGACAUGAAUGUGAGGCUGUUAUUGCUGCACAUAUACUUUCUACAACUUGAUUUUCUGUGUAUCAAUUACUCAGGCUAGGACACUAAAGUUUAGAGAUAUUAAGUGGCUUGGACAACAUCACACAGUAAAGGGUAGAGCUGCUCUCCCUCAGGAGGAAGCCUCGGUGGUUUUCAUACUCCAGGAAAAUGCACCUGAAUAAGACUGUGGUGGGUGAAGACUGGAGAUUUGGCCAUGCUUCCUGCAGCAUUGAGGCUUUGUAAUGUCACAGCGCUCAGCGAAGAGGUUCAGCCAUUUCUGCCUUGUGCCACUGGACAGAUGAUUCCUGCGUUUGAAUUAGAGCAUUUCUUCAGCCUUUCCACAACUUGGUGAGGCCGCAUGAUGGAGUCCAGGCCAAUGGAAUGAGAGUGGGUGUGAUGCCUGCCACUUCCAUGCUUGGCAACCUUCCAUCCUCUCUCCCCCAUCUACUGGACGGAAGCAGUGGACCUGGUAGAGGACCCCAAAGCCCUAGAAGAUAACAAAGCAACAGGACAGAAAGAGCCUGGGUCCCUUAACAACUGUUUGCAAUAAGAGUCACACCACCAACUCUCAUUGAACUCUGGUGGGUGGAGGGAUAAAUUUUUAUUGUCUUAAAUUGCCUAGAUUUUUAGCUUGUUUGUUAAAGUAACAAAUGGUUAACCUAAGUAAUAUAGAAUGUGUGCAAAAGAUAAUGCUGGAAUAAGGUACUGGCAGUUGAAAUGAAGAGAGCUAUUUAGAAGGUAGAAUCAGCAGUUCUUGGUGGUCGAUUAGAUGGAAUGGUGAUAGAGAAGGUGAAGUUAAUAAUGGGGUAGAGUGAGUCUCAAGUUUCUAGUUUGGAUAGCAGAUUGAAUACUAGUGCCAUUGAUUAAAGUCAUGAAAAUUGGAAGAAAAGCAGAUUUUUGAAAGGAAGGAGUAAGAAUUCAGCUUAGUACGUGGGCAGUUUGAGAUGCCCUUGAAACCUCUAAGUGGGUAUGUUUUUGUUUCUUUCUCUUUACUUCUCCUCUUGGGAACUUGAUAUUGGCUCUGACAAGUAACUUGUAAUGUAUUGUGAUCUGUAUGACAUUGUGUGUUGCUUUUUCCUUCUAGUUCUUGAAACCUUUCCAAGAUUAUGUUACACAGUCUCAUCUCUAUCAAUUUCUAAUUUAUAAAUAGAAGGGGCUGCCCUGGAAAGGAGGAAGAAGGAAGGUGGCCAUGAUUGACCUUGCUAGGCCAUCUUCCUCACCUUUGCUCUUACCUGGUCCUCUUAAUGGAAGAUAAAAGGCAAUGCAAGAUGAACAUCCUCAGAGAUAUCUUUUAUUUGGUUUUACAUGGAUUGUAAUUACCAAGAGGUGCUUGGGCUACCUUUAGAGGAAAGAUGAUUGUUAACCUCUAUGGUCCAACCAGUCCUUCAUUUCUAGAGAUAAUUAAAAUGGACAACGGUGAUUUUUCAUUUCUUCUGGCUUUGAAUGUUGACCUGUGGAAGUGGUAUUAAUACCCAUGACCAAAUAGGUAUUUAUUGAUUUCAGUUUUCAUAAGCUGCCUAUCAAGUUUGAAUGCAAACCAGUAACCUAUAUGUGGGAGAUGCAAUAUUCCAUUGCUAGUGCCUAGAUCCAUAGUCUUCAUUUCCUCCACUUGCCUCCUCCCCUCCUCUGGACCAUGAUCCAGAGUGGCCUAAGUGUACCCAUUCAUUCUAUCAAUAGCUUGUUCCUAUUAUAUGCCAGGUGAUGAGCAGAGAGUAGUGAGGAUGCAAAACCCAACAAGUUGGAGUUUCUAUGCUAUAGGAGAUUAUAUUUUAGUGAAAUUAUAGAUAAAUUAUUAGGAAAGUUUAAUCCAGAGUGACAAUUGCUAUGGGAGCAUGCACAGAGGAGACUUAGCCCAAUCUUAAGGAAUCAGGCAGGUUUGCAUAGACUUGACAGAAGGAGUGAGCAGGAGGAGGGGUUCGGAGUUGAGGGGAGCAGGGGAAGCACUUUGCCAAGGAAAGGCAUGAGUAAAGAGGAUCAUUUUCUGCUCUUACCCCUGCGUGGUCUUUGCAUGGUGCUGUCUGGCACACACAGGAGAGAGGGCUGUUCACAGACGGCUUUAUUCUAAGGGAACUAGGAAACAGGGGAAGUUUGUUUCUCCUUGGA
Microcebus murinus (gray mouse lemur) is the source of this 4367-nucleotide non-coding RNA. Lineage: Eukaryota; Metazoa; Chordata; Mammalia; Primates; Cheirogaleidae. The record is from RefSeq and is a predicted model, not a curated record.